Molecule: ribosomal RNA, 466 nt
Filed under: Rasamsonia aegroticola
Lineage: Eukaryota; Fungi; Ascomycota; Eurotiomycetes; Eurotiales; Trichocomaceae
Description: partial 18S ribosomal RNA
Rfam family: Group I catalytic intron (bases 84-413)
About the family: Group I catalytic introns are large self-splicing ribozymes. They catalyse their own excision from mRNA, tRNA and rRNA precursors in a wide range of organisms. The core secondary structure consists of 9 paired regions (P1-P9).
Source: RNAcentral
CCUAAGUCCUGCGCUGGAAUGGAUGAUUCCUUCCGCGGUGUACACUUAUGGAAGCCUUUGCAGCCACGCAAGUGGUAGACCCGAAGCGACUGUAAACAAGUUUGGCGUCGUGAUGCAAGUCAGCGGUCUCGCUGGCGACACUUUUUGAAUUGACGGGGACACCCUAAAGCCGGUCGCACCAACCCGUGUGGGGAAACCUCACGGGGGCCUGUGGUAACGACACAGGGGACGGUAACAGACGAUCCGGAUAGUUCUGCCUGGCAGAGAGGAUGGGUAAUCCGCAGCGAAGCCCCUACGUCGCGCCCCCCUCGGGGGGGGCUCGAUACGGGGAACGUUCACAGACUAAGUGGAAGUGGGUGGGGUCCCCCGGGACCCUGCUUAAGAUAUAGUCGGGCCACCUGGGAGACCAGGUGGGAAGUACACCGCUACGAACCGUUCCGUAGGUGAACCUGCGGAAGGAUCAUUA